GCUCUUAACAGAGAGAUCCGAAUGGAUCUUCUAG
Molecule: non-coding RNA, 34 nt
Filed under: Mus musculus (house mouse)
Lineage: Eukaryota; Metazoa; Chordata; Mammalia; Rodentia; Muridae
Source: RNAcentral